GGUUUGAUCAUGGCUCAGAUUGAACGCUGGCGGGAUGCUUUACACAUGCAAGUCGGACGGCAGCACGGACUUCGGUCUGGUGGCGGAGGGCGAACGGGUGAGUAACGGUAUCGGAACGUGCCUAGUAGCGGGGAUAUUACGCGAAAGUUGUGCUAAUACUCAUUAUUCUCUGGGAAGCGGGACCUUCGGGCCUCGCACUAUUAGAGCGGCUGAUAUCGGAUUAGCUAUUGGGGGUGAAGGCUCACCGGCGGCGACACGAUCCGUAGCUGGUUUGAGAGGACGACCAGCCACACUGGGACGAGGAUGACGGCUCCAGACUACGGGAGGCAGCAGUGGGGAAUUUUGGAUAAUGGGGAAACCCUGAUCCAGCCAUCCCGCGUGUGUGCGAUGAAGGCUGCCUUCGGGCUGUGUUAACUUUGGCAGGAAAGAAUCAUACUGGACAGUCAUUCCCAAAAAUCGACGGUACUCAAAAGAAUAAGCACCGGCUAACCACGUGCCAGCAGCCGCGGUAAUACGUAGUGCGUUAAUCGGAACUACGGCGUGCUGUGCGCAGGCGGUUCGGAAAGAAAGAUGUGAAAUCCCAGAGCUUAACUUUGAACUGCAUUUUUAACUACUGAGCUAGAGUGUGUCAGAGGGAGGUGGAAUUCCGCGUGUAGCAGUGAAAUGCGUAGAUAUGCGGAGGAACACCGACAAGAAGGCAGCUCGGGAUAACACUGACGCUCAUGACGAAAGCGUGGGGAUAUAAACAGACAGACACCGGUAGUCCACGCCCUAAACGAUGUCAACUAGUCGUUGGGGCCUCGCUUCCCAGCGCGCCAAUUGCGUGAAUGACCGCCUGGGGAGUACGGUCGCAAGAUUAAAACUCAAAGGAAUUGACGGGGACCGCACAAGCGUGGAUGAUGUGGAUUAAUUGAUGCAACGCGAAAACCUUACCUACCCUUGACAUGUCUGGAAUCCCGAAGAGAUUUGGGAGUGCUCGCAAGAGAACCGGAACACAGGUGCUGCAUGGCUGUCGUCAGCUCGUGUCGUGAGAUGUUGGGUUAAGUCCCGCAACGAGCAACCUUGUCAUUAGUUGCUACGAAAGGGCACUCGAAUGAGACUGCCGGUGACAAACCGAGGAAGGUAAAGGACGUCAAGUCCCCGCGGCCCUUAUGGGCAGGGCUUCACACGUCAUACAAUGGUCGGGACAGAGGGUCGCCAACCCGCGAGGGGGAGCCAAUCCCAGAAACCCGAUCGUAGUCCGAUCGCAGUCUGCAACUCGACUGCGUGAAGUCGGAAUCGCUAGUAAUCGCGGAUCAGCAUGCUGCAGAAUACGUUCAAGUCUGCAUACACGCUCGUCACACCAUGGAGUGGGUCGGCCAGAAGAAGUGAAUAACCCGUGGCGAGGCGAUUACCACGGUAGGAUUCAUGAUCAGUGGUCGUAAAUAAGCGGUAGCCUGAAGACACCGAUCUUGUGGACAACAUGUAAC
Molecule: ribosomal RNA, 1469 nt
Filed under: uncultured Bordetella sp.
Lineage: Bacteria; Pseudomonadati; Pseudomonadota; Betaproteobacteria; Burkholderiales; Alcaligenaceae
Description: partial 16S-23S ribosomal RNA intergenic spacer
Rfam family: Bacterial small subunit ribosomal RNA
Source: RNAcentral